GACGAACGCUGGCGGCGUGCUUAACACAUGCAAGUUGAACGAAGAGCGAUGGAAGCUUGCUUCUAUCAAUCUUAGUGGCGAACGGGUGAGUAACGCGUAAUCAACCUGCCCUUCAGAGGGGGACAACAGUUGGAAACGACUGCUAAUACCGCAUACGAUCUAAUCUCGGCAUCGAGGAUAGAUGAACGGUGGCCUCUACAUGUAAGCUAUCACUGAAGGAGGGGAUUGCGUCUGAUUAGCUAGUUGGAGGGGUAACGGCCCACCAAGGCGAUGAUCAGUAGCCGGUCUGAGAGGAUGAACGGCCACAUUGGGACUGAGACACGGCCCAGACUCCUACGGGAGGCAGCAGUGGGGAAUCUUCCGCAAUGGACGAAAGUCUGACGGAGCAACGCCGCGUGAGUGAUGACGGCCUUCGGGUUGUAAAGCUCUGUUAAUCGGGACGAAAGGCCUUCUUGCGAAUAGGGAGAAGGAUUGACGGUACCGGAAUAGAAAGCCACGGCUAACUACGUG
RNAcentral lists this ribosomal RNA (510 nucleotides) under uncultured bacterium. Its description in RNAcentral is "partial 16S ribosomal RNA". It matches the Rfam family "Bacterial small subunit ribosomal RNA", at positions 28 to 507 of the family's 1533-position model. The record is from RNAcentral.